Small nucleolar RNA from Erinaceus europaeus (western European hedgehog), 77 nucleotides. The record is from Ensembl. Lineage: Eukaryota; Metazoa; Chordata; Mammalia; Eulipotyphla; Erinaceidae.
GAUCAAUGAUGAAAAUAGCCAGAUCAGAACAUCAGAAGCUCUUCAGUCUACCUGAUGUAUGAUCUUUAAUUCUGAGA